AGUUCAUAAAAGAUCUCCCAUACAAUUUUUACUUUAGGAGUCAUUGUAGUUUUAAAAAUAGUUCAAAAUAUUAUUGUUUAAGAUCUCUCAAGUUUUUACUGAUCUUAUACUUUCGUAAAAUCCUCAAAUUUUUUUAAUAUAUUCUCGAAUAUUCGGAAUUUCAUUGCUUCCGAAAGGUCUUGGAUAGUAAAGAUAAAAUUGAUACUCCGAGAGAAAUUCCGAAUUUUAGACAUAAUUGGACCUCGAGAGACUCGAAUUUUAUAGAUACGAUUGGCCCUUAGGAAACGCGAAUUUUAUACAUAAUAGAACCUCGGGAGUGUGAAGAUUGGUUCCUAAGAUGCUCGGAAAAUUGAUAGAAGCUAAACUUCUCCAUUUUGCUCUUUCAUACAUCUUACUUUAAAGGCCUAUUUAAGGUUGAGUCCAAUAAAUCUGAUCUUUUAUACGGGACAAAUGAAUAGAAGGCAUGAAAUUCGAUGCCUCUUACCUCUGCAAGAGGAUGAACAAUUUAGGUAGUCCAUAGAGGCAUUGGUAAAAUGGCUUUUCCCCCUUUAAAGAAGCGUAAACAUCGCUUCUAUUGUUCGAACUAUGCUAAUUGUGCAACUUAAGAGUUACUCGUCGUUUUAAUAUAAGCAAUUAGGCCUAUUUCUGAAUGUAAACGAGCUGAACUCUUGUAUGCUGUGAGAGUUACAAUAUGUUAAAACUGCUAAACAAAUUGACCACGAAAGUUUCGAGUCCAGUACUUAAACUAGAUUAACGAUGUCCGUCUCAUUGCUGUUGUUACCGUCGGCUAUGUUACGAAUCAGUUGUUACGAGUCUCGCGAGCAACUUAGUUGGCCCAUGUCAUUACAUAAGAGGCGAGUUCGUGAUAACUCCACUCAUAAAUCCACAAUCCGGAAACUGCAUUGCGCAAGGGGAGAAAACAUAAGAAGUAAACUAACUUCCCUCGACGCUACGAAGGUUGUACAAGUUUAGAAUUCGGUAUUAAUUAAACAGGAUCAUACUAGUAGCAAAAGAUAAAUCGGAAAUUGCGUUAGAAGCAUCGUUAAGUGAACUGCAAGCGUGCCAAUUCGGCGUAUAAUGAGAUCUGACCGAUGUCAAGAAGCGUGGCUAUAUGUAUAUUAAUAAGUUAAACGCUGAAUUCGACCUGACUAACUCCAAAAAUUUCGAUUUGUUAACGUUUUUCGUGAAUUUAAACUUAGCGGUAGCCAUCAUUUAUUUUUAAAACUAUAAUUAAUGCUUACGUGUUUGGCUACCGAUGUCACGAAACUGAAUAAUUUAAACCGUGAAUAAUACAAGCGUUGAAUGAAUAACCGAGAGUUAAAUUUAAAAAUAUAAAUAUAUAUAUAUAUAUAUUGUACGAUAAUGUUUAGCGAUUGCUCCCCGAUGUUGAGAAGAGUC
RNAcentral lists this long non-coding RNA (1398 nucleotides) under Androctonus crassicauda. Lineage: Eukaryota; Metazoa; Arthropoda; Arachnida; Scorpiones; Buthidae. The record is from RNAcentral.